This 355-nucleotide small nuclear RNA is filed under the name Erinaceus europaeus (western European hedgehog). RNAcentral's name for it is "7SK RNA (ENSEEUG00000021231.1)". It matches the Rfam family "7SK RNA". Rfam says of the family: 7SK was discovered as an abundant small nuclear RNA in the mid-70s but a possible function has only recently been suggested. The record is from RNAcentral. Lineage: Eukaryota; Metazoa; Chordata; Mammalia; Eulipotyphla; Erinaceidae.
GGAGACAUGAGAGCAAUCUGGCUGAGACUUCUGCCACCCUGUUUGUUGCCAGGGUUGAUUCUAAUGAUUGGGCUGACUAGGCAAGUGUCUCCUUCCUCCUGUAAUACUCCAAGUGCGUCCCAAACCCCCCCCGGCCCUCGAAGCUGCAUGCUCAGUGGAAGAGGAUGACCUCUCCUUUUGUCUAAAAUAUAGGAGUAGCUCUGCUCCCUGGCUAGAACCUCCAAAUAAUCUUCAAGGUCCAUUUGUAGGAGAACAUAGGGAAGUCAAGUCUCCAGGACUCCAGACACAUGCAUGUGGCUGGAGAGAAAGAGAGAGAGAAAGGGGGGGGGGGAGUUUUUCUGAUUUUGUGUUUCAU